AUGCCUCCUAAGAUUAUUUCCAGCUCAGAGGUUCAGGGACUCUGCUGUUGUGAUGGGGAAGUCUCCGUUUGUCCGUCCAGAAGCUGGAGGGUCUUUGCCACAUUUCUGAUUCACCCGGAAGGAGGUGUUUGUGUGCAGCACCGAGAUUUACUGAUGAAAGAGGCCAGAGGAGCACAAAGAUUCCCUGAAGACUUAGACUCAGGUUCAUUUAACCCCAUCUUGGACUCUACUUCUCAGCAGACCCAGAAAGUUGACCUCCUAUGCACACUUCUUGAGGAAAAGCCAGCAACCACAAAGGUAGAAAGGAAGAGAGAAAAAAUGAGAAUGAGCAAGACAUGAGAUAUAAAUGGCAGUCCUAACCACAGCUCAGUCAAUAUGAAGUUGUGCAACAGGUCUGAGAAAGCAAGCAGAGGGAGUUUGGUUUGAAGAUAGUUAUUCAGUUACCUUUCCCCUCUCUCCCUGGAAUGGAUCCAAAAGCAACAAGGAGGAUGAGAAACAAAAAUGCAAAUGCCAUUUUGAGAGCAACUUAGAGGCAGCUAACACCCAGGUCCAUACAAUUGGGAAAAGGACUGUCAUGAACAGAGUGUGAUAGGGUCCUUGUACAGAGAAAGGAUGCUUCAGGGAGAAAAUGCCAUGGCCACAGCUCUCAGGAAAGCAGCAAAAGCACCCUUCUUAAAGAUGAGAGGCAACUUUGAUGGGCAACCCCCCAAACUCUUGUGUCUAAACAUGUUUUAGGAGUAUUCCAGCUGUUAGAGAAGCUUCCCUAAAUCUAGUUUUCUUCCCAAAUGCAGAGAAGAUGGAAUAAGAAAUCAUUCUGGUGGAGUUCCCUGGUGUCUCAGGGAGUUAAAGAUGCAGCAUUGUCACUGCUGUGGUGUGGGUUUGAUCCCUGGCCGGGGAACAUCCACAUGCCACAGGUGUGCCAAAAAAGAGAAGAAAUCAUAUUGGUAAACCAUAAUUACAGAAAGUGGUCAAUCACUCUGGGAAGAAAUAAAUCUAAACAAGUAUACA
This 1008-nucleotide long non-coding RNA is filed under the name Sus scrofa (pig). RNAcentral's name for it is "lncRNA (ENSSSCG00070029758.1)". Lineage: Eukaryota; Metazoa; Chordata; Mammalia; Artiodactyla; Suidae. The record is from RNAcentral.